UGGGGAAUAUUGGACAAUGGGCGAAAGCCUGAUCCAGCCAUGCCGCGUGUGUGAAGAAGGUCUUCCGAUUGUCAACCACUUAAAGUUUGGAGGAAAGGGUGUAGAUUAAUACUCUGCAAUUUUGACGUUACCGACAGAAUAAGCACCGGCUAACUCUGUG
Molecule: ribosomal RNA, 160 nt
Filed under: uncultured bacterium
Lineage: Bacteria
Description: partial 16S ribosomal RNA
Rfam family: Bacterial small subunit ribosomal RNA
Source: RNAcentral